AAAAACAUCGCUCCUUGAUAUUAUUAUAUAAGGAGUCGGACCUGCCCAGUGAUUUAUUUAACGGCCGCGGUACUCUGACCGUGCAAAGGUAGCAUAAUCAUUUGCCUUAUAAUUGAAGGCUAGUAUGAAAGGUUUAACAAGAAUAUUACUGUCUCAAUACGAUUAAUUAGAAUUUUAUUUUUAGGUGAAGAAGCCUAAAUUAAAUUAAUAGACAAGAAGACCCUAUCGAGCUUUAAAUAAUUAUGAAGACUAUUUAUUAAUAAAUUUAAAAAAUUAACUUCUAAAAAUUUUAGUUGGGGCGACUAAGGAACAAUUAAAGCUUCCUUAAUUAAAUUAUUAUAUACAAAUAUUGAUCCAAAAAUUAUGAUUAAUGGAAUUAGUUACCGUAGGGAUAACAGCAUAAUCUUUUUUAAGAGCUCUUAUCGAAAAAAAGGUUUGUGACCUCGAUGUUGGACCAAAAUAUCCUAAAGAUGCAGCAGUCUUUAAUGGUUGGUCUGUUCGACCAUUAAAAUUUUACGUGA
This 521-nucleotide ribosomal RNA is filed under the name Anentome helena. Its description in RNAcentral is "partial 16S large subunit ribosomal RNA". It matches the Rfam family "Bacterial large subunit ribosomal RNA", at positions 1809 to 2603 of the family's 2925-position model. The record is from RNAcentral. Lineage: Eukaryota; Metazoa; Mollusca; Gastropoda; Neogastropoda; Nassariidae.